GGCCUAUUAGUUCAGUUGGUUAGAGCGUUGUGCUAAUAACACGAAGGACGUAGGUUCGAGACUUGCAUGGGCCA
Non-coding RNA from Abrus precatorius (Indian licorice), 74 nucleotides. NCBI's taxonomy places the organism in Eukaryota, Viridiplantae, Streptophyta, Magnoliopsida, Fabales, Fabaceae. The record is from the annotation of a RefSeq genome assembly.